GCGGGCAUGGUUUAGUGGCAGAACGUAUCCUUGCCAAGGAUAAGACGGGGUUUCGAUUACCCCUGCCCGCACCA
Molecule: transfer RNA, 74 nt
Filed under: Parcubacteria group bacterium
Lineage: Bacteria
Description: tRNA-Gly
Rfam family: tRNA
About the family: Transfer RNA (tRNA) molecules are approximately 80 nucleotides in length.
Source: RNAcentral